This 344-nucleotide unclassified non-coding RNA is filed under the name soil metagenome. Its description in RNAcentral is "partial contains 5.8S ribosomal RNA, internal transcribed spacer 2, and large subunit ribosomal RNA". The stretch from base 1 to 119 matches the Rfam family "5.8S ribosomal RNA", at positions 35 to 154 of the family's 154-position model. The record is from RNAcentral.
GAUGAAGAACGUAGCGAAAUGCGAUAAGUAAUGCGAAUUGCAGAAUCCGUGAGUCAUCGAAUCUUUGAACGCACAUUGCGCCCUCUGGUAUUCCGGGGGGCAUGCCUGUCCGAGCGUCAUUGCUGCCCUCAAGCACGGCUUGUGUGUUGGGCCUCCGUCCUCCUCCCGGGGGACGGGCCCGAAAGGCAGCGGCGGCACCGCGUCCGGUCCUCGAGCGUAUGGGGCUUCGUCACCCGCUCUUGUAGGCCCGGCCGGCGCUUGCCGACACAUCAAUCUUUUUUCCAGGUUGACCUCGGAUCAGGUAGGGAUACCCGCUGAACUUAAGCAUAUCAAUAAGCGGAGGA